AUAGCAGCACCCAUUCCUAACAGAUUCACUACUAUGCCAUUUUUCAAGCUUUUCACAACAUCAACUCUAGGAGGCGCCUUGGAAGGGUCAUUAGCAGUCUUCCGGAGCUUAUCAGAAAGCCUAAUAUACCCAAAUGACCAAAACACGGAAAUGAAUGCAGCUGCGAUCCCCCCAGCAGUAGCAUAAAAAGUAGCAGGGGACGAGAUCUUCCCAGUGAUUACAACAGAAAACGAAAGAAUCACUGCUGCUACCACUGUGCAUAUUAGUUGCCCCCAAAACCCUAAACUACCCAGCCGCUUGAAAUACUUCGAGGCACUCUCCAAUCUCUUCGCAACCUGAGCGAGCUUCGCCCUCUCAGCCUCGUCGUUUGACGGAUUAAAAGGGGGAGAAACCGGAGAAGAAGCGUUCGUUUUGGUGAAGGAGAGGUUCGAGUCUGGGCUUUUAAGAGGAUCAUAAGACAAUGAAGCGCAAGGGAAUGAGACUAAUUGCGUGAAUGUGCGCGGAUAAUUUGAGAGAUAGAGUGGUCGGUAAUCCGUUGGGCGGUAGCGUUGGAGGAGAGGAAGCGCUGGACCUACUGUC
RNAcentral lists this unclassified non-coding RNA (579 nucleotides) under Hevea brasiliensis (rubber tree). The record is from RNAcentral. Lineage: Eukaryota; Viridiplantae; Streptophyta; Magnoliopsida; Malpighiales; Euphorbiaceae.